GAUGGGAUGCGCAAUCGCAUGGAUACCGGAGCUGGGGAAUAGGUGCGCACUGAUUAUUAUGGGCGGUAUUUAAGGGGCUUGGCCUGGAGGUUGGCACAUGCCUGGUUUCCUUCGGGGAGAACAGUCCUUGUUUCGUCGUGGGAUUUGGCGUGGAAGGCCGAAGACUAUCGCGUGUGUAUCCAAACGGUGCUUUGGUGCCUCGGUUGCCAGAGGGGUUGCGUUGCCCUGUGGGAAGCUGCCAGCUGACUCGUGGGGUGGCUAGCUUUGUGGCAGUGUCUCUGGAUGCUAGGUAAGUUACCGUAGGACUCGGUGGGUUGCUUAGAUUGCAUGGUGUAGCCCUUGUCUAAUUCCUCUCCUUUGGUUUUGGAACAGCAGCGGAAUGUGGCGCGUUUGUGUUCGGAGCUCACAAUGGAUAGUGGCCUUGUAGAACCAUCUCCAGCCUAACGAUCUGCGGCUACUUGGAGAUUCUGUCCCUCGACUUCCCACGGCUUCGGUGGCUGCUGUUUUGUUUCGGUCCGGCUCACGCUCGGGAUUCGUCAACCCGGCGGG
Engraulis encrasicolus (European anchovy) is the source of this 549-nucleotide long non-coding RNA. RefSeq lists it as uncharacterized. The transcript is spliced from 3 exons. The record is from RefSeq and is a predicted model, not a curated record. Lineage: Eukaryota; Metazoa; Chordata; Actinopteri; Clupeiformes; Engraulidae.